Molecule: ribosomal RNA, 422 nt
Filed under: uncultured bacterium
Lineage: Bacteria
Description: partial 16S ribosomal RNA
Rfam family: Bacterial small subunit ribosomal RNA
Source: RNAcentral
AAUAUUGGACAAUGGGGGCAACCCUGAUCAAGCCAUGCAGCGUGUGUGAAGACGGCCUUCGGAUUGUAAAGCACUUUAAGUUGGGAGGAAGGGCUUUAGGCGCAUACCCUGAAGCUUUGACGUUACGCACAGAAUCAGCACCGGAGAACUUGCUGCCAGCAGCCGCGGUAAUACGGAGGUUGCAAGCGUUAAUCGUAAUUACUGGGCGUAAAGAGCGCGUAGGUGGUUCAGUAAGAUGGGUGUGAAAUCCCCGGGCUUAACCUGGGAACUGCUUUCAUAACUGCUGAGCUAGAGUACGGUAGAGGGUAGUGGAAUUUCCUGUGUAGCGGUGAAAUGCGUAGAUAUAGGAAGGAACACCAGUGGCGAAGGCGACUACCUGGACUGAUACUGACACUGAGGUGCGAAAGCGUGGGGAUCAAACA